This 438-nucleotide ribosomal RNA is filed under the name uncultured bacterium. Its description in RNAcentral is "partial 16S ribosomal RNA". It matches the Rfam family "Bacterial small subunit ribosomal RNA", at positions 339 to 795 of the family's 1533-position model. The record is from RNAcentral.
CUACGGGAUGCAGCAGUGGGGAAUAUUGGACAAUGGGCGCAAGCCUGAUCCAGCAAUGCCGCGUGAGUGAAGACGGCCUCAGGGUUGUAAAACUCUUUCGCUAGGGAAGAUAAUGACUGUACCUAGUAAAGAAGUCCCGGCUAACUCCGUGCCAGCAGCCGCGGUAAUAGGAGGGGACUAGCGUUGUUCGGAAUUACUGGGCGUAAAGAGUUCGUAGGCGGACUGACAAGUUAGAGGUGAAAUCCCAGGGCUCAACCCUGGAACUGCCUUUAAAACUGUCAGUCUAGAGACCGGAAGAGGUUAGGGGAAUACCUAGUGUAGAGGUGAAAUUCGUAGAUAUUAGGUGGAACACCAGUGGCGAAGGCGCCUAACUGGUCCGGUACUGACGCUGAGGAACGAAAGCGUGGGGAGCAAACAGGAUUAGAUACCCCUGUAGUC